Ailuropoda melanoleuca (giant panda) is the source of this 347-nucleotide long non-coding RNA. RefSeq lists it as uncharacterized. The transcript is spliced from 3 exons. The record is from RefSeq and is a predicted model, not a curated record. Lineage: Eukaryota; Metazoa; Chordata; Mammalia; Carnivora; Ursidae.
AAGCACAAGGAAAAAAUCUAAUCACUAAAGGCUGCAAAUUUCUCAACACGAAUAUUAAUGUGUUAGUGUUCUAUGGAAGUGGCAAGGUUGAGAUUAGAUAAACUAGUGUUUGUGACUCACAAAGCAAAUAUAACAACUCCAGUUCUUAUCAAUUUGCCAGUGAAGAAGAGAGUUCCAGUAAUUAAGAGAAAAUGUUUACCACACAAGAAGUUGUUGAUUGGGCAGAAGAAAAGAGGAAGAUGACAGUAGUUUUCACGGAGCAGUUACUCUCUCUCUUCCUGCUUUACAAAUGAAGACGCUAUCACGGUACCUGGCUGGCUCUGUCGGUGGAGAAUGUGACUUUUGAU